RNAcentral lists this long non-coding RNA (216 nucleotides) under Elaeis guineensis (African oil palm). RNAcentral's name for it is "long non-coding RNA (EGUI_LNC033879)". The record is from RNAcentral. Lineage: Eukaryota; Viridiplantae; Streptophyta; Magnoliopsida; Arecales; Arecaceae.
CGCACAAAAGUAUUGUGUUCUGAACACAUUACUGUAAAGUGUUUACUGUUUGAAUUUGAAAUUCAAAUUUAAAUAAAUGCAUGCUAUAUAUCAUAUUUAGAUCCUAGUGUAGGAUAAAUUCAUGUUAAUUAAUUAGAUUAAUUAAUAUUUUUUUACUAUAAAAUCAUAAUUUUGAAAAAGUUUUAAAAUUAUCAUUUUACCCCUGCACUGAAUUUU